This 254-nucleotide ribosomal RNA is filed under the name uncultured bacterium. Its description in RNAcentral is "partial 16S ribosomal RNA". It matches the Rfam family "Bacterial small subunit ribosomal RNA", at positions 524 to 776 of the family's 1533-position model. The record is from RNAcentral.
UACGUAGGGAGCGAGCGUUGUCCGGAUUCAUUGGGCGUAAAGAGCUCGUAGGCGGUUCGGUAAGUCGGGUGUGAAAUCUCCGUGCUCAACACGGAGCGGCCACCUGAUACUGCCGUGACUCGAGUCCGGUAGGGGAGUGUGGAAUUCCCGGUGUAGCGGUGAAAUGCGCAGAUAUCAGGAGGAACACCGGUGGCGAAGGCGGGACUCUGGGCCGAUACUGACGCUGAGGAGCGAAAGCGUGGGGAGCAAACAGG